AGUUGUAGAAUCACUGGUGAAUAAGGGGUGGGCAAGUUCUGGUGUCAGCCGCCGCGGUAAAACCAGCACCUCGAGUGGUCAGGAGGUUUAUUGGGCCUAAAGCAUCCGUAGCCGGUUGCAUAAGUUUUCGGUUAAAUCUAUGCGCUUAACGUAUAGGCCGCCGAAAAUACUGUGCAGCUAGGGAGUGGGAGAGGUACACGGUACUCGAUAGGAAGGGGUAAAAUCCUUUGAUCUAUUGAUGACCACCUGUGGCGAAGGCGGUGUACCAGAACACGUUCGACGGUGAGGGAUGAAAGCUGGGGGAGCAAACCGGAUUAGAUACCCGGGUAGUCCCAGCUGUAAACGAUGCAGACUCGGUGAUGCAUUGGCUUGUGGCCAAUGCAGUGCCGCAGGGAAGCCGUUAAGUCUGCCGCCUGGGAAGUACGUACGCAAGUAUGAAACUUAAAGGAAUUGGCGGGGGAGCACCACAAGGGGUGAAGCCUGCGGUUCAAUUGGAGUCAACGCCAGAAAUCUUACCUGGGGAGACAGCAGAAUGAAGGUCAAGCUGAAGACUUUACCAGACACGCUGAGAGGUGGUGCAUGGCCGUCGCCAGCUCGUGCCGUGAGAUGUCCUGUUAAGUCAGGUAACGAGCGAGACCCCUGCGUCUAGUUGCUACCAUUACUCUCUGGAGCAGUGGAGCGAAUUAGACGGACCGCCACAGUUAAUGUGGAGGAAGGAAAGGGCCACGGCAGGUCAGUAUGCCCCGAAACCCUAGGGCUACACGCGGGCUGCAAUGGUAUUGACAUGUGUUCCGAAUCCGAAAGGAGGAGGCAAUCAUCAAACAUAUCUCAGUUAUGACUGAGGGC
This 846-nucleotide ribosomal RNA is filed under the name uncultured archaeon. RNAcentral's name for it is "bacterial SSU rRNA". It matches the Rfam family "Archaeal small subunit ribosomal RNA", at positions 415 to 1261 of the family's 1478-position model. The record is from RNAcentral.